This 300-nucleotide ribosomal RNA is filed under the name uncultured Lactobacillus sp. RNAcentral describes it as "bacterial SSU rRNA". It matches the Rfam family "Bacterial small subunit ribosomal RNA", at positions 496 to 795 of the family's 1533-position model. Lineage: Bacteria; Bacillati; Bacillota; Bacilli; Lactobacillales; Lactobacillaceae. The record is from RNAcentral.
UGAAAAGUCGGGGCAGAAGGCGCGGUAAUAGGUAUGGCGCAAGCGUGAUACGGAGUGUUUGGGCGUAAAGGGCAUCUAGGCGGUCAAUCAAGUAGAAGGUGAAAACGUGUGGCUCAACCAGAAGCUUGCCUACGAAACUGAUGAACUAGAGUACUGGAGAGGUGGACGGAACUACACGAGUAGAGGUGAAAUUCGUAGAUAUGUGUAGGAAUGCCGAUGAUGAAGAUAGUUCACUGGACAGAAACUGACGCUGAAGUGCGAAAGCUAGGGGAGCAAACAGGAUUAGAUACCCUGGUAGUC